AGGAGACUGCCGGUGACAAACCGGAGGAAGGUGGGGACGACGUCAAGUCAUCAUGGCCCUUACGUGUAAUGGGCGCAAGCCUGAUCCAGCCAUGCCGCGUGAGUGAUGAAGGCCUUCUGGUUGUAAAGCUCUUUUGUCACGGAACAAACGGUGAGGGCUAAUAUCCUAUGCUAAUGACGGUACCAGAAAAAUAAGCACCGGCUAACUACGUGCCAGCAGCCGCGGUAAUACAACCUGGGAUGGUCAUUUAGAACUGGCAGACUAGAGUCUUGGAGAGGGGAGUGGAAUUC
Molecule: ribosomal RNA, 290 nt
Filed under: uncultured bacterium
Lineage: Bacteria
Description: partial 16S ribosomal RNA
Rfam family: Bacterial small subunit ribosomal RNA (bases 1-243)
Source: RNAcentral